AGUGAACGCUGGCGGUAGGCCUAACACAUGCAAGUCGAACGGCAGCACAGUAAGUGCUUGCUCUUACGGGUGGCGAGUGGCGGACGGGUGAGGAAUACUUCGGAAUCUACUUUUACGUGGGGGAUAACGUAGGGAAACUUACGCUAAUACCGCAUACGACCUACUGGUGAAAGCAGGGGUUCUUCGGACCUUGCGCGAUUGAAUGAGCCGAUGUCGGAUUAGCUAGUUGGCGGGGUAAAGGCCCACCAAGGCGACGAUCCGUAGCUGGUCUGAGAGGAUGAUCAGCCACACUGGAAGUGAGACACGGUCCACACUCCUACGCGAGGCAGCAGUGCAGAAUACUGGACAAUGCGCGAGAGCCUGAUCCAGGCCUACCGCGUAAGUGCAGAAGGAGUUCGGGUUGUUAAGCGCUUAAGUUGGGAGAGAAAAACAGCAGGUUUAUCCCCCGUUAUACUGACGGUACCCAGAGAAUAAGCACCGGCUAACUUCGUG
This 492-nucleotide ribosomal RNA is filed under the name uncultured bacterium. RNAcentral's name for it is "partial 16S ribosomal RNA". It matches the Rfam family "Bacterial small subunit ribosomal RNA", at positions 29 to 507 of the family's 1533-position model. The record is from RNAcentral.